UGUAAAGUUCAAGCUCCGAUUAUGAGGGCGAAACCGCGAAUGGCUCAUUAAAUCAGUCAUAAUCUACUUGAUUGUUUAAAGUUUAUAUGGAUAACUGUGGUAAUUCUAGAGCUAAUACAUGCACAAAGGGGGCGACUCUUGUGUAAAAGCGAGAGAAGCUCUGCGUUUAUUAGACUAAGACCAAUGAUUGUAGCAAUACAAUCUUUUUCAAGGUGACUCUGAGUAAAUAAUGGGUGAAAGCCCAUGUUGCUGACCUGACAUCAAGGGGCCUCGGUCCUGUCAGGCAAAUCAAUCGAGUGUCUGCUCUAUCAACUGUGGAUGGUAGAAUAAUUGUCUACCAUGGUGGUGACGGGUAACGGGGAGUUAGGGCUCGACUCCGGAGAACAAGCCUGAGAAACGGCUAGUAGGACUAAGGUCUGCAGCAGGCGCGAAACUUACACAAUGCUAGAUUACAAUUAGCGAUGUAGUGAAGAAAAAUAACGAUGUACUUCCAUUUAAACAUGGUAGUACAAUUGGAAUGAGACGACUAUAAACCAGUUAGUCGAGUAACAAAUGGAGGGCAAGUCUGGUGCCAGCAGCCGCGGUAAUUCCAGCUCCAUUAGCAUACAUUAAAGUUGUUGCGGUUAAAAAGCUCGUAGUUGAAUUUUAGGCGAGCUCUAUUGGGAUGCAGCCGUAAAGGGUUGCCCAUUCUAUAAUGGGUCAACCUGGUUGUCAUUUGCCUAUAGGAGCUCGCUGUUUCGUCACUUAUUCGAGUGCGAAGCGGGCUGGAACGAUGGUCAUCCCUUAGGGGAUGCCUUGUUACAGCAAGUUUACCUUGAGAAAAUUAGAGUGCUCACAGCAGGCAGUUGGGGUGUAAAAACCUCUUUAUGCUUGAAUAAUGUUGCAUGGAAUAAUAGAAUACGGCCUCGGUUCUAUUCUGUUGGUCUUAUAGAACAACAAACAAGUUGGUUGGAGCGAUCAAAAGUUCGUUUGCGAGUGUGGCCAUAGUGGAUAUAGUGGUAUAGUUCGUGUUUUCUGCUUUAAUCAAUCAAGUUUUGACUUGUUACCUGGGGCCUUAAAAUCUCAGAGUCUUGUCGACUUGUUGCUCUUAAUUCAGAACCCCACUUGCCCUAUUGUAAGCUAUGGUCAUUUAAAGCACUCCUUAUUGGGCUAGCUUCUUAAUCAACUGAGGCAAUGGUUAAAAAGAAAUAGUCGCGGCGGCAUCAGUACUGCAUCGUGAGAGGUGAAAUUCUUAGACCGAUGCAAGACUAACUGAAGCGAAAGCGUUUGCCGAGGAUAUUUUCAUUAAUCAAGAACGAAAGUUAGAGGUUCGAAGGCGAUCAGAUACCGCCCUAGUUCUAACCAUAAACGUUGCCAACUAGCAAUUGGGUUGCGAUUCCUUUAAUCGAAGCAUAAAACACUUCGAUCAUUAUGAUCCACCCAGCGGCUCUCGUAGGGAAACCAAAGUGUUUGGGUUCCGGGGGAAGUAUGAUUGCAAAGUUGAAACUUAAAGGAAUUGACGGAAGGGCACCACCAGGAGUGGAGCCUGCGGCUUAAUUUGACUCAACACGGGGAAACUUACUAGAUUAGAACUCUGGAAUGAUUGACAGAUUGAUAGCUCUUUCUUGAUUCAGAGGAUGGUGGUGCAUGGCCGUUCUUGAUUCGUAUUCCGAAACGUCUGCUUAAUUGCGAUAACGAGUGAGACCUCACCCAACUAACUAGUCGUUUGGUGCGCUGUGGAACACAAAAGUCUCGGCAAGAGGCUGGCUAGGUGCUUCGGUAUUUAGUUAGUGCUUGUUUGGGAUGUUCUCUGCUCGCCAGCGGACUUCUUAGAGGGAUAAACGGUGUUUUAGCCGUAAGAAACGAGGCAAUAACAGGUCUGUGAUGCCCUUAGAUAUUCUAGGCCGCACGCGUGCUACAAUGGCGUGUGCAGAAAGCUUGUUCGAGGUUUGUCUAGAGAGAACUACUUGUUUGGUUGGUCGUAGGCAGCAAUGUUUGCGAUUGAUCGGCAGGAAAGUGACUCUAGUUAGCAGGCCGAGAGAAACCGCGGUCGAAAGAUCGUGGCAAUCAAAAAUACACGCCGUGAUUUGGGAUUGGGGAUUGCAAUUGUUGCCCAUGAACGAGGAAUUCCCAGUAAGCGCAAUUCAUCAUAUUGCGUUGAUUACGUCCCUGCCCUUUGUACACACCGCCCGUCGCUACUACCGAUUGGAAGUUUUAGUGAGGCAUUUGGACCUGCUAUCCAAAGGGGAGGCAACUCUUCUGGGACGGCGGGGAAGUCUGUCGAACUCAAAUUUCUAGAGGAAGUAAAAGUCGUAACAAGGUUUCCGU
RNAcentral lists this ribosomal RNA (2307 nucleotides) under Dipentamerus litseae. RNAcentral's name for it is "partial small subunit ribosomal RNA". It matches the Rfam family "Eukaryotic small subunit ribosomal RNA". The record is from RNAcentral. Lineage: Eukaryota; Metazoa; Arthropoda; Arachnida; Trombidiformes; Eriophyidae.